AAAUGUCAGAGUUUCAACGUUGUCAUAGGUUUUCGUCUGCUCAACUCACAUCACUCAAAUUAAUUGUUUGUCAAAUUGCAGAGAUAGAAAAUUAGAUACAAACUUUUCAACAUUUCAAGCAGAUUCUUUAAAAUGCCUCUAAUUAAUGAGAUAUGUCUUUCAGAAAAGUGCCUAGAUUUUAUCGUAAAAGACAUCGAUAAAUUUUGUGUGAAAUCGGGCAAGGAACCACUAGAGGAAAUCGACUCAGACAUUUGCAAGAGUCCUUGUGAUCAAUUACCCUCUUUUCUGUUGGACAAACUUGUAAUGAUGUUGAUGGAGACUUGUCGUCUAGACAAGAAAUGUCUAGAGUUUCUAAUAUCUACCAACCUUUGGACUUUGGAUCUAUCCCAGUGCCAACAACAAGAAAGGGCUCACCUGUUGUGCAUUGGGUCAAUCAGAAGUCAGAAUCUGAAAACACUAAAGCUUGGAUGUGGUCACAUUGAUCCAGAAUUUUUAAAUUGCAUUUCCAAAUUUAAAUGUUUGCAAUUUCUGGAAUUUUCCCAGUGCUCAGACGGGGACAAAAUAAUGAGAAUUCUUGGAGCUCAUUGCACAGAUUUGAGAGGAGAAAUUCGAGUGAACACUUCGACUGAACAAAGGCCAGCGUAUAACAAACGGUACUAUGCAGAGUGAGCAGGGCAACACCUUUCGUCGUAAAAGCCGCAUGCUGUGGAUAACAACCGGAGAACGCAGAAAAGUAACUCGGAUUGAAGAACGAGGAAAACAAAAGGUACACAGUACACAUCACAACAUCCAUAAAUAAAAAACAAAUUUUAAAAUUAUACAAAGGAGAUCGGAUAAACUUGAAAGAUUCAACUGUUUUUAGAUAAUGUCAGCAGAAGUUCGUGUGGGCUGGCCAACCCUGGGUUCCCGUGACAAUAGAAGUAAAAUGGUCAAAUCCAAAAAUGCAAAUAAACCAUUGAUCUGUAUAUUUGACUAAAAUAAUCCGCCAUUAUAAUUUCAAAUGAAUUUGGUUGAAGGUCAUAGCGGAAACGUUACCUAAAAGUGUCAGGUGGUGGUGUAGAGGUUGGGUGAGAAAGACACGUGUUACACCAUUAUCAAGUAGGUAGAAUUGCCGCAAGGCUUGAGUUGAAAGUUGAGUCAGGGUGAGAAAAAGGCGUAUAAAAGGAGAGAGAAAAGGGCCACAUGAAUCAGUCGAGUGAGCCUCUCCGGCACGGCAACAUCUGCAUCCAAUUCGCAAUCUCGGUUAAUUAUGGCGUCGUCCUGCUGUUGGUUGUUGUAUCGUGUGGCUGUGUCGACGACUGGUGUACCGAUGUCUCCUGGGUAUGGCGGCUGCUAAACCUCAACGCCGCCGCCUUACUACGCAACAACAACAUACGCAACGACCAUUUACUACACCAAGGCACCGGAGUACUUCACGACUAGGUAUGCCGCUCACCUAAGCUCCGAAGUAUUAUGCUGCCCCUAGCUACACCACUUAAACGCCGAGUACUACACCGAGGCUGGAUAGAGGAUGGGUGAGAACGCCACGUGUUCCAUCAUUAUCAAGCAGGCUACAAUAACCGUAGUCAACUACUGCGUCGUGCUGCUGUUGGAUGUUGUAUCGUUGAUGGCUGGGUCGACCACGAGUGUACCGAUGUCUCCUGGGUGUGGCGGAUUCCAAACAACAACGACGAAGGAAUACUACACUUCGACGACGCCUUACUACACAACAACAACGUAUGCAAUACCUUACUACACCGAGACUCCGAAGUACUACACCACCAAUGCUCCAAAGUAUUGCUUAACUUAUGCUGCCCCGAGCUACUACACCGAAGACCCGAAGUAUGACUCUGCCCCGAGCUACACCGCCAAAGCGCCUGAGUGCUACACGACUACGUAUGCCGCUCCAGUUUAGUAAACCGAAGGCUCUUAAGUACUACACCAAGGUUUCCAAGUACUACUCUGCUCCCAGCUACUACACCAAGGUUCCAGCUUACAACAUCGAGGCUCCCAAGUACUUUUUCUCCCAGCUACUAUACCAAGGCUCCCGUUCAUUACACCACCGAAGCGGUUGAACACUACACCGAAGCGCCCAAGCACUACUCUGCCCCGAGCUACACAACCAUAACUGAUGCUGUUAAGUAAAUGAUCGUGACACGACUUACUACACAGGAGCUCCAGUUUACUACACCACAACCUACGCUACACCUUUACUACACUGGAGCUGAAAAGUACGAGAGAGCCUAAUACUUCACCACUACAUAUGCUGCCUUAGUUCACUAUACCGAGGAAUUCAAGUGUUACUCUGCUCACAGCCACCACCAAACCGAGGUUCCUGUUUACUACACCACCAAGGCACCCCGGUUGUGUACUGCUUCUUACGCUGCUUCGACCUACUACACAGAAUUUUUAAGUAUAACUCUGCCCCGAGUUACUUUUCCAGUAAGGCACCUGAUGCUACACCACAACCUACGCUUAUCCAGCUUAUUACAAGGAAGUUUGAUUUGGUUGUGUUUAGAUUUGUUGGUCACAUAGUCAGUUUAGUUUUGGUUUGGUCACUGGGAUUUGAUUGUUUAUCUUUGACUGAGAAAAUAAACUUUGAAUGCGAA
This 2588-nucleotide unclassified non-coding RNA is filed under the name Daphnia pulicaria. RNAcentral's name for it is "uncharacterized LOC124328516, transcript variant X1". The record is from RNAcentral. Lineage: Eukaryota; Metazoa; Arthropoda; Branchiopoda; Diplostraca; Daphniidae.